ACAUUUGCCUGUCAGGGGAGAUACCAUGAUCACAAAGGACGUUUUCCCAGGGCAAGGCUUGUCCAUUGCACUCCUGAUGUGCUGACCCCUGCAAUUUUCCCAAAUGUGGGAAACUCAACUGCAUAAUUUGUGGUAGUAGGGUACUGCAUUAGUGCUCUCCCCUG
Molecule: small nuclear RNA, 164 nt
Organism: Pteronotus mesoamericanus
Lineage: Eukaryota; Metazoa; Chordata; Mammalia; Chiroptera; Mormoopidae
Product: U1 spliceosomal RNA
Exons: 1
Source: RefSeq, a predicted model, not a curated record